Molecule: unclassified non-coding RNA, 253 nt
Filed under: uncultured Gammaproteobacteria bacterium
Lineage: Bacteria; Pseudomonadati; Pseudomonadota; Gammaproteobacteria
Description: contains 16S-23S intergenic spacer region
Rfam family: Bacterial small subunit ribosomal RNA
Source: RNAcentral
UACGUAGGGUGCAAGCGUUAAUCGGAAUUACUGGGUGUAAAGCGUGCGCAGGCGGUGCUGUAAGACAGGCGUGAAAUCCCCGGGCUGAACCUGGGAAUGGCGCUUGUGACUGCAGCUCUGGAGUGCGGCAGAGGGGGAUGGAAUUCCGCGUGUAGCAGUGAAAUGCGUAGAUAUGCGGAGGAACACCGAUGGCGAAGGCAAUCCCCUGGGCCUGCACUGACGCUCAUGCACGAAAGCGUGGGCAGCAAACAGG